AUUCUCAAUUUAAAAACUUACUACAAAGCAACAGCAACCAAGAUAGUAUGGUUCUGGCAUAAGGAUAGAAAUAUAGACUAAUGGAUAGGAUUGAGAUUCCAGAAGUAAUCCUAUAUAUCUUUUGCCUAGGUCAAUUAUAAUUUAACAAGAAUGCCAAGACCAUUCAAUGGGGAAACAAUCGUGUUUUCAACAGCUGGUGCUGGGACAGCUGGCCAUCCAUAGGCGAAAGAAUAAAGUUGGAUCCCUACCUCACAUCACAUACAAAAGUUAUCUCAAAAUGACAGGAGGGAAGGUCACACAAUAAGAAUAGGACCACAGAUGUUUAAUGAUUAUUCACCUUACUAACUAUGGAUAAGAGGUUUUCUGAGAAACUGGAGGAUGUGCAAAAAGAAAAACAGAGCUCUAAAAAGAUGAGACAUCUCAGAGCAAGGAUGGGUCCAUUGCUCAGAAAAGAAAAUGCAUUUUGAGGACAAAGGACAGGAUGCACUUUGGUUUGGUUGCUGUGCUGUGCCUCUGGGAGUUUGCCUCAGGAAUGUGAUCCCUUCUCCGGUUUUACCACCAUUGAAAAUUAACUACUUUCCUAUUGGACUUCAAUAUCUUGGAAGGUAUUAUCUCUUGGCUGUGAUGGCCCUUAUAUCUUCCAAAGACUCCUUUCCCUUGAUUACUGUAUCCCAAGACCCAUGUUCCCAGGUGCCCAGGUGUAUGACCAUCUUCCUUACUUCUGCUGACCAUCAUCUGUAAAAGACACAGAUGGCUGCACGGUGAAAGAUAACCAACCAAUGUCCAAGCUCAGAAAAAAGAAGGUGGUGAAUUCAUUUGUUUGUUUUCCUUUUGCGUUGUAAGAAUAAAUCGUUACUCAUUCAAUAAAUUGUUGAGCACCUUUAUGUAUGCAUAAACACUCUGUCUUUAGAAGCAGCUUCACUGUUAAAGGCUGCUAUUUACU
Myotis daubentonii (Daubenton's bat) is the source of this 943-nucleotide long non-coding RNA. RefSeq lists it as uncharacterized. The record is from RefSeq and is a predicted model, not a curated record. Lineage: Eukaryota; Metazoa; Chordata; Mammalia; Chiroptera; Vespertilionidae.